UACGUAGGGGCCGAGCGUUGUCCGGAUUCAUUGGGCGUAAAGAGCUCGUAGGCGGUCGCGUAAGUCGGGUGUGAAAUCUCCGGGCUCAACCCGGAGGGGCCACCCGAUACUGCUCGACUUGAGUCCGGUAGGGGAGUGGGGAAUUCCUGGUGUAGCGGUGAAAUGCGCAGAUAUCAGGAGGAACACCGGUGGCGAAGGCGCCACUCUGGGCCGGUACUGACGCUGAGGAGCGAAAGCGUGGGGAGCAAACAGG
RNAcentral lists this ribosomal RNA (253 nucleotides) under uncultured bacterium. Its description in RNAcentral is "partial 16S ribosomal RNA". It matches the Rfam family "Bacterial small subunit ribosomal RNA", at positions 524 to 776 of the family's 1533-position model. The record is from RNAcentral.